UAUACAUGAAAUUUUCAAAAGAAAAUAAUGUCUCUACUUAGAGAAAUAGUCCUCAGUCCGUCCCUUGAAUCCAAUUUGUCCAAAAGUCAGGCAGAGGAACAACCCCAAGUGCCAGCACACCAACCAUAGCCAGAAUUGCGAAGUGAGAGCAGGUCCAGUGGGGAAAUGAGAGAGUUCAGUGCCAAUGCUUUCAAAGAAAAGACCAGUAAGACUCUUUCCAUUGAUUGCUGGAACACUUGAAGGAGCCAACCAUCCAAUCAAACCAAAUCCAAUCACAUUCAAGUCUCUUCUUAGCCAGUCCCUCUGGAAACAUGUAACUCUGCCUCCUGAAGCUUUUGCUACCUUUAAAGGGUUUCUUGCUGUCACUGGUGAUCUCAUGAAGUCUGAGGAAAGGCUAGUCUUCUUUGCAGAAGAAAAUCCAGAAAGAGAUGAGUUAGCUAAGCCUACAACACUGGACAUUGUUGCUGCCAUUCUUGUUUUCUUCUUCUCCGAAUAGUGUUUGUGUUAG
RNAcentral lists this unclassified non-coding RNA (508 nucleotides) under Hevea brasiliensis (rubber tree). The record is from RNAcentral. Lineage: Eukaryota; Viridiplantae; Streptophyta; Magnoliopsida; Malpighiales; Euphorbiaceae.